UACGUAGGGUGCAAGCGCUAAUCGGAAUUACUGGGCGUAAAGCGUGCGCAGGCGGUUUUGUAAGUCUGACGUGAAAUCCCCGGGCUCAACCUGGGAAUUGCGUUGGAGACUGCAAGGCUAGAAUCUGGCAGAGGGGGGUAGAAUUCCACGUGUAGCAGUGAAAUGCGUAGAGAUGUGGAGGAACACCGAUGGCGAAGGCAGCCCCCUGGGUCAAGAUUGACGCUCAUGCACGAAAGCGUGGGGAGCAAACAGG
RNAcentral lists this ribosomal RNA (253 nucleotides) under uncultured bacterium. Its description in RNAcentral is "partial 16S ribosomal RNA". It matches the Rfam family "Bacterial small subunit ribosomal RNA", at positions 524 to 776 of the family's 1533-position model. The record is from RNAcentral.